UAGGGAAUCUUCCGCAAUGGGCGAAAGCCUGACGGAGCAACGCCGCGUGAGUGAUGAAGGUCUUCGGAUCGUAAAACUCUGUUAUUAGGGAAGAACAAAUGUGUAAGUAACUAUGCACGUCUUGACGGUACCUAAUCAGAAAGCCACGGCUAACUACGUGCCAGCAGCCGCGGUAAUACGUAGGUGGCAAGCGUUAUCCGGAAUUCUUGGGCGUAAAGCGCGCGUAGGCGGUUUUUUAAGUCUGAUGUGAAAGCCCACGGCUCAACCGUGGGGGGUCAUUGGAAACUGGAAAACUUGAGUGCAGAAGAGGAAAGUGGAAUUCCAUGUGUAGCGGUGAAAUGCGCAGAGAUAUGGAGGAACACCAGUGGCGAAGGCAACUUUCUGGUCUGUAACUGACGCUGAUGUGCGAAAGCGUGGGGAUCAAACAGG
RNAcentral lists this ribosomal RNA (429 nucleotides) under Actinomycetes bacterium. RNAcentral's name for it is "Actinobacteria bacterium partial 16S ribosomal RNA". It matches the Rfam family "Bacterial small subunit ribosomal RNA", at positions 355 to 776 of the family's 1533-position model. The record is from RNAcentral. Lineage: Bacteria; Bacillati; Actinomycetota; Actinomycetes.